AAUUAAUUUAUGAUAUUGAAUUGAAUGAAAAUAUAUAUAUAUAUAUUAAUUACAACAACUUUAUGCCCAUAUCCUAAUGGGAUGAUAGUAGUAUUUAAAGAGAGAAGAAACAUACACCAAUGAUUAAAUGAUAUGCCCCAUAUCCCUAUUCCUGUACACUAUACUAGCUUCUUUUACCGUCAUUCUCUGCUUCAUGCAGAUAUGCUUGUUAUUCAUAUCCUCAAACCCACAUAUCUUCAAAAACUCAUGCACUUGUUAUCUCCACUCUCCUCAACCUUCUGUUUCUAUACUUACCAACCACAUAUCCAGCCUACAAUCACUUGAUAAAUUAUUUGAGAGAGUGAUCAUAUUGAUAAUGGUAAUGUCACAACAGCAAAUGCUAGAUCGAAAUAUGUAUAUGUAGUUGGGUACUAUGCUAAAAAUGAGAAUCUUAAAGAAUACUAGGAUGAUUGUGUAUCAAAGUAUGCUAAUCUUGAUAUAUAAAAGUGAAUUCUGAAUAUGAUGUGAAAGGCAUAAAAAGUGAGUGCAAUGGAGAUAGAUACUUGAGGUAUAUAACUGGAAGGAUGUGCUAUGAUUGUGUUUUGAAUGAAAGUAUGAAAGCUGGCAGUAUGGAGUAGUGUGUGGUUGAUGCAAUGUUUUAUUCAAUUUUGAGAUGAUUUGUCUGUAUGAAGCUAUGAGUGAAGAGUGAAUGUACAGCAGCAGUGCAGCAACAUGUGGCCCUUUGUUGAUUUGUUGAUGUCCUCAUUGUAUGUUAUUUUAACAAGUCACACAAACAAUGAAAUAUUAUUUAUAGUUUUGAACAAUGUAUUUUCAAUAAAAUUUUUGAUGUGAAAUUAU
This 837-nucleotide long non-coding RNA is filed under the name Androctonus crassicauda. The record is from RNAcentral. Lineage: Eukaryota; Metazoa; Arthropoda; Arachnida; Scorpiones; Buthidae.